UGAGGGAAGGGAAAGUUCUUCAGAGGUUUCCUUCUCUCCAUUUUAAGUAAAAGAGACAGAUUGCCAUGACUGUCCAUCUGGGCCUGAGGGAGAUAGCAAAGAGGAACCCAAACCAGAGGAAGAAAAAUAUCCAACUCCCAAAAUAAUGUGUUCAAGAUAACAACAUUUACCCAGUGGAUUUAUAUGACUGGGACUCAGCACACUGUCCUCACUGCUGCAGCUGGGUAGCUUCUUCCCAACAACAUGAAGCUCAUUACUUUUGCAUGGUCAUUGUUCCUGUGAGCCAUCCCAAUUAAAAAUUACACAGAUGGAGCACUUGGAUCUGGGAUCCUUUCAAUCAUUUAUGGAUCAAACACAGCACUUCUUCCUCUUGCCAGCAACAAACGUGUCGUGGCAGCACUCUUGGAGUCUGAGAACCAACUGCUUUAACUUUGCUGAGCCCAA
Oxyura jamaicensis (ruddy duck) is the source of this 444-nucleotide long non-coding RNA. RefSeq lists it as uncharacterized. Lineage: Eukaryota; Metazoa; Chordata; Aves; Anseriformes; Anatidae. The record is from RefSeq and is a predicted model, not a curated record. The transcript is spliced from 3 exons.